UGCGUAGGCGGGUCUUUAAGUCAGGGGUGAAAUCCUGGAGCUCAACUCCAGAACUACCUUUGAUACUGAAGAUCUUGAGUUCGGGAGAGGUGAGUGGAACUGCGAGUGUAGAGGUGAAAUUCGUAGAUAUUCGCAAGAACACCAGUGGCGAAGGCGGCUCACUGGCCCGAUACUGACGCUGAGGCACGAAAGCGUGGGAGCAAACA
RNAcentral lists this ribosomal RNA (206 nucleotides) under uncultured bacterium. RNAcentral describes it as "partial 16S ribosomal RNA". It matches the Rfam family "Bacterial small subunit ribosomal RNA", at positions 568 to 774 of the family's 1533-position model. The record is from RNAcentral.